AAGUCCAGAAUCCUACUACGUCCUCUGUACGCUUAUAAUUGACUCAACAGGUCACAUGGUUGGAAACCAGAGGCUACAGGCGGGACUUUACCGAGUGUGAGAGAGACUGUUCGAGCUGACAACCAUGGACUUCAUGACAGAUCGUGAUGUGGAAAAGUACAUGGCGGACGGCUACGUGGUCCUGGACGGGCUCCUGACCUCGCAGGAGUGUGACGAGCUGAGGCAGAGGAUGGCAGAGAUCGUGGAGCAGAUGGACGUCCCGGAGCACUGCCGCACCACCUUCUCCACCCAUCCAGACGAGCAGCUGAACAAACAGGGAAAUGCUGACUAUUUCAUCACCAGUGGCGAUAAGAUCCGCUUUUUCUUUGAGGAGGGAGUUUUUGAUGACAAAGGAGAAUUCAUCAUACCAAAACAGCGAUCCCUGAAUAAAGUUGGUCAUGCACUACAUGCCUAUGAGCCAUUGUACAAAAAGGCUACACAUUCACCCAAAGUUCAGGGCAUUGCCAAGAAGCUGGGUCUUCUAAGUCCUGUGAUACUACAAAGCAUGUACAUUUUUAAGCAACCAGGAAUAGGUGGGGAAGUCAGACCUCAUCAAGACGCCACAUUCUUGUACACGGAGCCCCUGGGCAGAGUGAUGGGGGUGUGGAUCGCCCUGGAAGACGCCACCUUGAACAACGGUUGUCUGUGGUUUAUCCCAGGGUCACAAAACAGUGGUAUUACCCAGCGUAUGGUGCGUGCACCAGAGGGCACCUUUCCCCUGACAGACUUCAUUGGCAAAGAGAAGACCUAUGACGAACAGAAGUUUAUCGCCGUGCCGGUUAAAAAAGGUUGUUUGCGUGGGUCCCAACCCGUCCAUCAACCUGUCUGUGUUCAGGUAGUGUGGUCCUGAUCCACGGGCAGGUGGUGCAUCGCAGCGCUGAGAACAACUCGGAAGACUCUCGCCACGUCUACACGUUCCACAUCAUGGAAUCCCAGGACACCCGCUGGAGCCCUGACAACUGGUUGCAGCCCACUGAAGAGCUCCCUUUCCCACCUCUCUACACUAAAUGAAGGAAAACGUUGUCAUCUGCUGCAAAGAGACACAAGAUCCUCUAUUUCCUGUAGAAACUGACCCAACUGUUUUAACCAGAGAAAAUGUUUUUUUUGUAAUCUUACAUGACACCAUCUGUUGUUCUGAGCUACAUGUAGACUAGUAUGUGGUUGAUCCAGAAUUACUUCAACACAAAAAGUGGAAUAAUGGCGACUAACUAUUUUUUCUUGAAUGUAUCAGUGAUGUAAUGUGAUUUUUUUAACAAACUAAAAGAUUAAUUUGAAUUGGAUGAUUUCAAACUUUUUGACCGACUUUUCAUGAACACUUAACAAUACAAGUGAUAUCUAGAUCUACUUUUAUUCGUCUCCUCAUCAACAUCGUCACCAACCAGCAUUAUUCUUGUCAUUUUUUAUUUUAUCACAUUCAUGUCAGAACAAAAUGGCAGAUUCCUAUUUUUACAGACAAACUGAGCAUUUCUGUUUUCAAGUAUGUUGAUUCUUAGACGCAACUUAAUUGGAAAAACAACUUAAUUUUAUGUAUGGAUGAUUCUAAACAACAACAUCUUCAUCGAUUUCAAAAAUCAAACUGAGAAAGCAAAGGGGCUGACGUUGACGUCGUCAAAGUGGGACCACUUCAGGUUCCUCUUCUCAAUCCUCAAAGGAGCAUUUAACAAAUGGACUAAACACUGGAGGCAUAUCAGUUUUUAUCGUUCUCCCCGGAUGCACUCAACAUGCAAUUUUACCCUUUAUUUAUUUUAAAUGUAGGGACGAUGGUAAAAACAACAUACUAGUAGGAUCAUGCUAAUAAACCCUCAUCACAACGUAAAAAAACACCAAAGAACUUUCACAGAUUAAAGUAGACGAAAGGCUGGAAAUGUAUCCAUCCUGAAAACACCUUCUAGGUUGUGAAAUUAUUUAAUUUCGGUGAAUUAAAUAUUAAAUAAAAACUUGGCCCACAGCAAAUCUACAGAUUCCAAAAAUACGCGGUGUAUGAAGGCUCAGUAGUAUCACAAGGAAAUGUAUAUAUAAAGUUUACCUUUGAGGGGUCCCAUCAAACCACAGAAAUAUUUAGCAAAGCAAAUGUACCAAAUAAAACAAAAAUACUGUAGUAUACCUCUGUACAUGUUGGUAACAGUAACUGGAUUUCACAUUGGUGUCAUGCAGGAGCAUAGUGAAUUUUCUGCCAUAUCGAAGUAUAAACCAGCCCUUGUAAAGAAGAGUGGAGCCAUGCUUUCGCCUACUGUACAGCAUCUACAAUAGAAGGUAAUGUGUGAUAGAAAAUUUACUUCUUAAGGCAAAUGUUUUCAUCAGAAAGUCCUUCAUCGUAUUGCCAUCGGCCAUCGGCGAAAUAAUAUUCCAAUGAUGGAAAAGACGUUGAUUUAAGAAAAAGACAUAUCAACAAGCUAACUUUAAAUAAUGUUCUUCGAAGGCAAUACAAAGGCAUGUAUCCGUUUGUAGGAAAGGGAUAAGACGACCUCCUCUUCAAUGAUCUAAAUGUGCCUUCUAGCAGCAUCUGCAAUGUCCAGAAUUCAAUAGACUUCUUUUUUAUCCACAAAUUUGUUAGCCUGAAUCUCCUUUGCAUAAAUCAGUUGAGUUGAAAUUGUUUGAGAUGGUGACACAGAAUAAAAAUAUUGAGCAUC
This is an RNA transcript of Scophthalmus maximus (turbot), 2669 nucleotides long. It is a transcript of the gene named phytanoyl-CoA dioxygenase domain containing 1, with no coding region annotated. The record is from RefSeq and is a predicted model, not a curated record. The transcript has 11 exons. NCBI's taxonomy places the organism in Eukaryota, Metazoa, Chordata, Actinopteri, Pleuronectiformes, Scophthalmidae.